AGGUGGUGGUGGAAAGGAGGGUUGCGGGUGACAGCUAGAGGCGUGCCUGUGGAUGUGGCAGAGGACAACGACGCUGAUGGUGUUUAAAAAUUAGGGUUUUCGGAUGAGCUUAAGUUUUUGGGCUUUCGGGCUUUAGGUUCUUUGAUUUUUUGUAAAUGGAAUUUUAGUUAGUGGACCUUUUUAUUAUUUUUAUUUGUUUUUUUGUUUUUUUGUUGGGCCAGAAAAAUUUGGGCCUCUACAACUGACAAAGAAGGUUAAAG
RNAcentral lists this long non-coding RNA (260 nucleotides) under Gossypium raimondii (Peruvian cotton). RNAcentral describes it as "long non-coding RNA (GRAI_LNC002551)". Lineage: Eukaryota; Viridiplantae; Streptophyta; Magnoliopsida; Malvales; Malvaceae. The record is from RNAcentral.